Molecule: ribosomal RNA, 250 nt
Filed under: uncultured prokaryote
Description: partial 16S ribosomal RNA
Rfam family: Bacterial small subunit ribosomal RNA
Source: RNAcentral
UACGUAGGUGGCAAGCGUUAUCCGGAAUUAUUGGGCGUAAAGAGUGAGCAGGCGGUUGGUUAAGUCUGAGGUUAAAGCGUGGAGCUCAACUCCAUAAAGCCUUGGAAACUGGCUGACUAGAGUACGGAAGAAGUGAAGGGAACUCCAUGUGUAGCGGUGAAAUGCGUAGAUAUAUGGAAGAACACCAGUGGCGAAGGCGCUUCACUAGUCCGAAACUGACGCUCAGUCACGAAAGCGUGGGUAGCAAAUA